GUGCUGGGGGUAUUGUGUAUGACUAUUUAAAAAAAUGGUUGGGCAAAUUUGCCAUGAAUCUAGGUAUUUACAAUUCUUGAAAAUCUCACUCCACGCUUAUGUAUAUCUCUGCAACUCAUACAAGACCAUCUAGCACAUCCAUUUCACAACUGUCACACAAAUAGCAAAGGAAAAAAAAAUUGCCAAACUUGGAGCCACAUAUGACUACAAAGGAACCGUUUAAUGAAGAGUCGUCACAAAUCCACAGAUCAGUUGACAAACUGAAGUUCAUAAUUCAUGGCAGCUUUCCGUCUCUCCCGAACUUCUCGGAAGCUCCAUCCUCAUUUCUCGUCGCUCGGUCUCUGUCAGUCCAUCUUCCAUUCAUUGCUCUCCUCACCCGUUGUGACUUCAGACACUAACCCUAAUCACUGCAUCCCCGUUCCCUCCACGUUCAGGCACUCGCAGUCCUGGGACGUCCUCGAUUCCGAAUUAUCCCUGAAAACCGUCAAGUCUUCGUGGGAAAAAUUAGUUUCCACUCACUGCAGGAGUUCCAUAUAUUUUGGUCAAUAUGCCGGCAUUUCUACAUCGUCUGGUGUAGCGGACGAGGGAUCGAAGAACGCGGAGAAUUCAGGGGGCGGAGAUGUUGGCGAUGAAUCGAAGAAGAAGAAGAAGAUUGGUGUGUCUUGGAUUGAUUUGCAUCUACCCGAGCUUGCUCGGCCAUAUGCUCGCCUUGCUCGCUUGGAUAAGCCGAUAGGCACUUGGUUACUCGCUUGGCCAUGCAUGUGGUCUAUUACCUUGGCAGCAUCUCCUGGAAAUCUUCCUGACAUUAAGAUGUUGACAUUGUUUGGUUGUGGGGCUUUGCUCUUAAGAGGUGCUGGAUGCACCAUAAAUGACCUCCUUGACCGGGAUAUUGAUACGAAGGUGGAACGAACAAAACUGAGACCCGUGGCAAGUGGCCUUUUGACACCAUUUCAAGGGGUUUGUUUUCUUGGGUUUCAGUUGCUUUUGGGUCUUGGGAUUCUUCUUCAACUGAACAACUAUAGCCGCAUUUUAGGAGCUUCAUCCUUGCUGCUAGUCUUCUCCUAUCCCCUCAUGAAGAGGCUGACAUUUUGGCCUCAAGCCUAUUUAGGUUUGACCUUUAACUGGGGAGCUUUAUUGGGAUGGACUGCUGUUAAAGGAAGCUUGGAUCCUGCCAUUGUGUUCCCGCUAUACAUGUCUGGAGUGUUUUGGACUCUUGUGUAUGAUACAAUUUAUGCACAUCAGGAUAAGGAAGAUGAUUUGAAAGUGGGGGUCAAAUCUACAGCCUUGAGGUUUGGGGACUCAACAAAGAAGUGGGUUACUGGGUUUGCAGUUGCAUGCAUUAGUAGUCUUGCGCUAUGUGGAUUCAAUGCUGAUAUCGAAUGGCCAUAUUAUGUGUUUUUAGCAGCUGCAUCGGGACAUUUAGCGUGGCAGAUUUGCACAGCUGACCUAUCAUGCCGUGCUGAUUGCAAUAGGAAGUUUGUGUCCAAUAAGUGGUUUGGUGCUAUUAUUUUUGGUGGGUUCUUACUUGGAAGGCUCUCCUCAUAGCAGUAUAGUUACUUUUCAGUACAAAGGCAUUCUUACUGUGGAGGUAUCAGUCUUGGGCUGGAUUGAAGCAUAGAUAAUUUAUCGCGGUUGCAUGUUGAAUAUGUGAGGGAAGAAGCAUUGCACGUCAAAUAAAUGCCAAGUGGGUUUUGAGUAUGAGAGGUCUCCUGGUGCACAAUAUCUUUCAGGGGACAUGAUUUCAUUGUUGAUCCCCCACAGGGCACAGCUGUAAUUGACUUUAAAAAAAUAUACAGAUGUAGAUGUUGGAAGCUGAUUAGAUGUGUCUAAAUUAAAUUGGGAGUUGGAAGGUAGUUUCAGUUGAAAGGCUCAUUAGUAUUUUGUGGAUUGGUACUAUUAUUUGUUUACAGGAUAGAUGCAAAUAUAAAAAUAUUUUGGGAGAUCAUUGCUGUUGUAAGAUCCUUUGGCGAUGCUCAAAUUCUCCUUUUUAUUCUUCCCUUUUCCCUUUGAAAGGGGCUGGGUUGAUGGUUGUAGGGCUACUCAUGGAUCAUGUAUGUGGAUGGAAACUUCAUGUAGAAUUCCACAUACUCUUUACCUCUCUCUUACCAGAAAGAGUUCCGCCUAUUUAUAUUCAGGCUUAAUGGACGACAUUGUUGGAUGUGGCGGCGGCGGCACGGACACUCUUUUCUUGACAUGAAAUACAAUCUGGAAGAGGAAAUGUAAAGUCAUUGUGAAAUGUGUGAUAUCAUUUGAGUGAGCAUCAAACUUGACAUUUAUAAGAUUGCCCUAUGUUUGGUUCACAGAAUAUUCAUAUUAUACAUUGUAUAUUCUUUUCUUUCAAACACUUUAAUUUUAAGAUAAUGGGAGCUGCAAUCAAUUGGUAAA
Molecule: RNA transcript, 2385 nt
Organism: Malania oleifera
Lineage: Eukaryota; Viridiplantae; Streptophyta; Magnoliopsida; Santalales; Ximeniaceae
Gene name: 4-hydroxybenzoate polyprenyltransferase, mitochondrial
Exons: 10
Source: RefSeq, a predicted model, not a curated record